RNAcentral lists this ribosomal RNA (1526 nucleotides) under uncultured Glomus. RNAcentral describes it as "eukaryotic LSU rRNA". The stretch from base 681 to 1526 matches the Rfam family "Eukaryotic large subunit ribosomal RNA", at positions 1 to 695 of the family's 3401-position model. Lineage: Eukaryota; Fungi; Glomeromycota; Glomeromycetes; Glomerales; Glomeraceae. The record is from RNAcentral.
UCGCUCUUCAACGAGGAAUCCCUAGUAAGCACAAGUCACCAGCUUGUGCUGAUUACGUCCCUGCCCUUUGUACACACCGCCCGUCGCUACUACCGAUUGAAUGGCUUAGUGAGGCCCUCGGAUCGACUUUCUGAGACUGGCAACAGUCUUUGAUUGUUGAGAAGUUGGUCAAACUUGGUCAUUUAGAGGAAGUAAAAGUCGUAACAAGGUUUCCGUAGGUGAACCUGCGGAAGGAUCAUUACUGAUUUAGCGAACCGAGGUUUUGCGAUCACUUGUAUUUAAAACCCAACUCAUAUAAAAUAUGUAUAUUUUUGAAAAAUAAAUUAAAGAUCACUUUCAACAACGGAUCUCUUGGCUCUCGCAUCGAUGAAGAACGUAGCGAAGUGCGAUAAGUAAUGUGAAUUGCAGAAUUCCGUGAAUCAUCGAAUCUUUGAACGCAUAUUGCACUUUCUGGUAUUCCGGAAAGUAUGCCUGUUUGAGGGUCAGUUAAAUAAAAAUCGGUGUUGUUGCUGCUAUUAGUGGUGAUGCAUCGGAAUUGAGUUGUUCUUUGCCCUUUGGUAUAAGUGACUUAAAAUUUGUACGAUUUUUGAACGUAUUUAAAUUAUUUACGUACGUUCAUAAUAAUCAUAUAUUAGGUGCGGUCAUUAUUAUGAUUUCGCGCCUAUAAUUUUUUCAUUAUUUGACCUCAAAUCAGGUAAGAAUACCCGCUGAACUUAAGCAUAUCAAUAAGCGGAGGAAAAGAAAAUAACAAUGAUUCCCUUAGUAACGGCGAGUGAAGGGGGAUAAGCUCAAAUUUUAAAUCUGCUAGGUUUUACCUAUCAGAGUUGUAAUUUGAAGAAGCGUUUUCCGCGUCUCGGUUGACCCAAAUCCUUUGGGAUAUGGUAUCAUGGAGGGUGAGAAUCCCGUCCGGUUGACUUUGUGACGCUUUACGAUACGUUUUCAAAGAGUCGAGUUGUUUGGGAUUGCAGCUCAAAAUGGGAGGUAAAUUUCUCCUAAGGCUAAAUAUUGGCGAGAGACCGAUAGCGAACAAGUACCGUGAGGGAAAGAUGAAAAGAACUUUGAAAAGAGAGUUAAACAGUACGUGAAAUUGUUGAAAGGGAAACGAUUAAAGCCAGUCGUACCGGCGGGUAAUCAGCCUUUUGGGUGUGAUUAUGUGGAACGUGAGGAGUUUAAUCGCCUUCAUGCCUGCAUAUUCGUGCACUUUGGGUGUACUUGCUCGUGUUGGUAGGUUAACAUCAAUUUCGAACAUCAUAAAAUGAUUGGGGGAAUGUAGCUUCGAUCUCGUGUUGAAGUGUUAUAGACUCUGGUAGAUGUGAUGAUCGGGAUUGAGGAUUGCAACGGAUACCCUUAUGGGCUACCCGUCUGAUCUCUGAGAGUUACUCUGGUGCCGAAAGCGUGCUUACGGUAUCAAAGUUGACGUUCAAUAGGUUAGAACGGGUUAAAUUCGUUAAGGAUGUUGACGUAAUGGCUUUAAACGACCCGUCUUGAAACACGGACCAAGGAGUCUAACAUAUGUGCGAGUGUUU